AUUUUAUUUUAAUCUUGAUUUGUAUAUUCUCUUCUUCUAUCUUAAAUUGUGAUUGUUCGUUUCAGUUCCUUAGCUUGUAGUUCUUCAAAAAAGGUGCCUGAUCAUACUUGUGAAGUACUUCUACAGAAUGGAUCUCUUUCAAAACAGCUGUCAGAUGAAAAUAUGGAUGGGUAUUGGAUUCUUAAACAUGUGCAAAAUCUUUACUACAGAGUCAUACGUAAUAAAAAAAAGGCAUUUUAUGAUAUGCUAUAUUAUGCUAUAAAUAAUUAUAAAAUAAUACAGCAAAAUAAUUAUUUUCUUCCUGACAAAGAAAAUAAGAUACUUUUAGAACGUCUUACAAAAGGAAAAACAUUAAAAGAAAUAAAUAAACAACAAACAAAUCAAUGUGGGUAUUUUUGGUUAAAACGUAAAGAUGGAAAAUAUGACCAAUAUGGACCAUUUCCUCCAAAAAAUGGGAAACAUAGUGAAGAUUUUAUUGUUGAAGAAGUGCUAAAAAUAUUAAACAAAUGUUAUUCAAAGUAUGAAGAGCUUUGGAUUUAUUCUACAAACAGCCCAUGUUUAGCUAGAAACAGCAAUCUGAUUCCUUGUAUGAUAAACUUGAAUCGUUUAAGGGAAAUAUUGAAAAAUACUUAUAAUAUAAAAACAAUAAUUGGCUUUUCAAAGUUUUAUGAUUUAGCUGGUUCUUUUGAGAAUAUUAAAAUAUUUAACGAGGAUAAUUUACCAUGCCAUGAUGAGUUUAAAACAUUAAUUCCACAACUAGAAAAUAAAGCAUUUGAAAUGAAAAAAUAUAAGACAUCUGAUAGUUGUGAAAAAUUUUCAAAUCCAUUAAAUCUUAUUCCAACCAGAUUAAGACAAAAAAUUUUGCACGAGCAAAAAAAAUUGUUCCAACAUCAAGAUUUACUGAAUACGUUUAAUGAAUUUAAAGACCUUGGUCGGGAAAAGAUUAGAAAUACUAAGGAAAAGCUGAAAACUAUGUUUGGUAAUGAUGAUGAAGAUUGGAAGGAUUAUUUUAUGCUUCUUGAAGAUAUAUUUUUAGAAUGGUGGGAUAAAAAGGUGAAUGAAGCAUUCAGCAUAUUUAAAAACAAAAUUGUAAGUGAUUAUUUAAAAAUGUGUUCUUUUCAGCGCUUCCUUAAUGACAUUCCAGACACUGUAAACAAAAACUUUAUUGGCCUUUUGAACCACACUAAUGAUCCUACUCCCCCUGUAAUUAAAUCUGAAAAUGUUAUUUUGAUGGAUUGAUUGGUGUAUUUGUAACAUGUAUAAUGAUUUAAAUAAAAAUCCCAGUUACAAAG
Non-coding RNA from Paramisgurnus dabryanus, 1292 nucleotides. The record is from RefSeq and is a predicted model, not a curated record. NCBI's taxonomy places the organism in Eukaryota, Metazoa, Chordata, Actinopteri, Cypriniformes, Cobitidae.